RNAcentral lists this non-coding RNA (23 nucleotides) under Arabidopsis thaliana (thale cress). Lineage: Eukaryota; Viridiplantae; Streptophyta; Magnoliopsida; Brassicales; Brassicaceae. The record is from RNAcentral.
AAGAAUACAAUCGUUGGCGGUAC